CUCUACUCCCUUGAAAAUACUUGAAAAAAAUAUUUCCUAUGGGCUAAAGAAUAAGUGAGAGGUAUGUGAACAAUGGAAGAAUAGUUUCCAUUUAAGAUGGCUUCAGGAAAGUGGUGCUUGUAAGAAGAAUCAAGUUCCAAUUAAUGUCAAGAGAUUGUUGUGGCAUCUGGACACAUGACACACUUGAAAACAACACAUUAAAUUUAUACUGCCUGGAAUAGACAAAAAGCUGCCUUGUAAGCAUCAUCAACAAUGCUCAUCAUUGGGGGAGGGGUGUGCUGCAUUAGCUGGGUCCCAUGGAAUUAUAUUUUUAAAUUCUAAACUUUUCACAAAUAUAAAAGGGAUAGGCAUUUCAAAUCUGAAAGGCCACAUGAGGGAGAUAACUUCUAUUAAAUAGCAAUUUUUUCAAGUACGAAAAUGAUUGUUAUGAUUCACCAGGGUUUGACUUCAACAGUAUGGGAAAUGUACUUGAGUUAAUCUUCUGGAUUAUAUUUGUAAAAGAAGAUAGGUUAGUUAAGCUAGGAUUGGUCUAUAAUGUAACUCUUAGUAGUCAAACUAAAAAGUAAUUAAUCGCAUAAAUUACACUAUCCUUUAAAUAAAGAUUUUUUUAUGAAAACUGCUCUUUCUAAAAGUUUUAAAAACUUUCUAAAAGUUGUGCACAUGUACCCUAGAACUUACAGUAUAAUAAAAAAUAAAAAUAAAUAAAUAAAUAAAUUUUAAAAAGAUUACAAUAGGCUGGGCACAGUGGCUUACACCUGUAAUCCCAGCACUUUGGGAGGCCAAGGCGGGCAGAUCACCAGAGGUCGGGAGUUUGAUAUCAGCCUGGCUAACAUGGUGAAACACCCCCCCACCCACGUCUCUACUAAAUAUACAAAAAAUUAACUGGUCUUGGUGGUGCAUGCUUGUAAUUCCAGUCACUCAGGAGGCUGAGGCAGGAGAAUCGCUUGAACCCGGGAGGUGGAGGUUGCAGUGAGCCGGAAUUGAGCCACUGAGCUCCAGCCUAGGCAACAAAGCGAGACUAGGUCUCCAAAAAAAAAAAAAAAAAAAAAAAAAGAUUACAAUAAUAUGAUACCAAACAAAUGAAACUGCAGACCCUGUUUUCAGGAUUACAAAGUGCUAAUACAAGAAGAAACACAUAUCCAAACAUGUAAAAAGAACAAACAUCUACAAUUAUGAUGUAAAGCCAGUAAGGGAGGCAGCUUGUACCACUGCACGCUAAGAGCUUAAUCAAACAAAAGGAAUGAGAAGAAGCAAGGGUACCAUUAGCUUCAGGGAUUCUGAGGUUCACAAAGGGCAGUUUCAUAUCCACUUGACUAUUACCCGACAAACCUUCAGACUGCUUUUCCUGAUGAGACAAAGAGUAAUUGAAAACGGGGUUAUGAUCUAAAGAUCACAAACUUUGAGUUUUCAAUGCUUACAAUCCCUCUAAAUUGGAUUAUUUUAAGAAAAUUAAAUAAAACUCAAGAUUGUUUGAAUUAUCACAGGAAUAAAAAAACUUUAUUUCAUCCAGCUGGUACCAAAAACUGGGCUAAAAAAUGAAGGAAAACAAUAAGCUCUAGAGGUAAACAUCUCAGAUGGUAUAUACUUUUAUCUCUGUAAUUCCUGACUAAAUGGAUGUAAUUUCUUUUAUCAUAAUUCCUCUAUAUGAAUGGCCUUUUCUUGGCUCUAAUGGAAUAUUAGUGAAUUCUUAUGACUCAGAAUUUUCAAUAAAUUUUUCUGAAACAAAAAUUUACUAGCAAAAAAGACACUGCCUUUAUGUUUAGCCCAAAUGUUAAUUGCAUUUGACUAAGAAUUUCUGAGUAAUACAUCUGUGUUCAGUGUAAACAAAAUGUUCUGAUACACUUUAAGUCUUAUCAAAAUCACUACUAAUAACCAAGUUUGUUUUAUCCAAUGUUAAAAUUUUUAUUUUUCUUAAUUUAUAUGCAUUUUACAUUGAAACAAAACGUGAACCAAGUUGCCAAAAUUUGGUAGUUUUAGGAUAAAACUACUAUUAAUAAGUUUGGGAAGUCUACUGAAAACCUUUUCUGAGUCUCUACAUGCAUGUGCUCUGUCAAUCUAAGAGGGGGCUUACAUAAGUCACAUUACCCAAUAUUACUUGCCCGAUUUCUCAAACAAUGCACAUUAUCAUCCCAAGAAGCAUCUGUUUCAUGUAAAGUUUGGGAAAUAGAGGCCUAGAUUAUUGGAAAGCUAAUUAAAAUGGAUCAUAACAGAACAAAAUAAGCAUUUUGGUUAACGAAUAAAAGAUAUCAAGAACUGGCUAAGAGACAUGCUUAUCAAUCAUUUCCCCAGCUUGUGAUAAAGGAAUAUCCUGUCAUCAGAGACCUAUAAUAGGAUGACCAUAUAACUUACCAUCCAAGCCAGAACACUUUUGAGAGUCAAAGAGGGCCCCAUUCAUUACAGCAAGAUAAACUUAAACCAGGACCAUCCAGGACAGCCCUUGCCCCAACUAUGAAGCACACAAGGACAGUUUACCAUACACCAUAGCUCAGUUAGUUUUAUCACCCAUAAGGUGUUGCGGUACCAGGAAAGAAUGGCAAGUCUUCUUUUAAAAUACUGCAUUUCAGAAAACAGAUUAAUAUUUUAGGCAAUACCUGAAACAGAUAUGAGAAUAUCACAAUAGUAGGUUAUGCUGAGAUAGACUGUCCUUAUUUACAAAAUCAUCCUCUGGCACAUGGCACUACUGAAUACUCUGUCGUCAAACUUCAAGCCGUCAGCUUCCAAGUCAGCACUUUCCUGAUUCUCCUUCUACAUUUCAAUUUCUUCUUUACCUCUUUCAUUAGCAUUCUUCCUCUAGGUGCCUAUGAAACUAUGGCGUUUGUGUUCCCGUGUUCCCCAUAAUUCAUUCACUUUAUAUAUUACGCCCUCCUUGGGUACCUCAUUCCCUCAAAUAUAUUCCAAGGUCCUAUAUAACUACCCCUAACUUCUUCAAUCAUACAUCUAGCAUCAUUCUAACAAAGCAUAAU
RNAcentral lists this long non-coding RNA (2963 nucleotides) under Homo sapiens (human). RNAcentral's name for it is "HSALNT0140374". Lineage: Eukaryota; Metazoa; Chordata; Mammalia; Primates; Hominidae. The record is from RNAcentral.